CUCGGGCCUUGUACACACCGCCCGUCACACCACGAAGGUUGGCAAUACCCGAAGCCGGUGGCCUAACCCGCAAGGGAGGGAGCCGUCGAAGGUAGGGUCGAUGAUUGGGGUG
Molecule: ribosomal RNA, 112 nt
Filed under: uncultured bacterium
Lineage: Bacteria
Description: partial 16S ribosomal RNA
Rfam family: Bacterial small subunit ribosomal RNA
Source: RNAcentral